RNAcentral lists this transfer RNA (80 nucleotides) under Echinostoma caproni. It matches the Rfam family "tRNA". Rfam says of the family: Transfer RNA (tRNA) molecules are approximately 80 nucleotides in length. Their secondary structure includes four short double-helical elements and three loops (D, anti-codon, and T loops). The record is from Rfam by way of RNAcentral. Lineage: Eukaryota; Metazoa; Platyhelminthes; Trematoda; Plagiorchiida; Echinostomatidae.
GGCCUCGUAGCUCAGCUGGUAGAGCGUGCGCGUACAAAGUGUAGGCGACGUUUGUGUGAGUUCAAAUCACACCGAGGCUA